RNAcentral lists this ribosomal RNA (475 nucleotides) under uncultured organism. Its description in RNAcentral is "partial 16S ribosomal RNA". It matches the Rfam family "Bacterial small subunit ribosomal RNA", at positions 330 to 797 of the family's 1533-position model. The record is from RNAcentral.
CGUACACUCCUACGGGAGGCAGCAGUGGGGAAUAUUGCACAAUGGGCGCAAGCCUGAUGCAGCCAUGCCGCGUGUAUGAAGAAGGCCUUCGGGUUGUAAAGUACUUUCAGCGGGGAGGAAGGCAAUACGGUUAAUAACCGUGUUGAUUGACGUUACCCGCAGAAGAAGCACCGGCUAACUCCGUGCCAGCAGCCGCGGUAAUACGGAGGGUGCAAGCGUUAAUCGGAAUUACUGGGCGUAAAGCGCACGCAGGCGGUCUGUCAAGUCGGGUGUGAAAUCCCCGGGCUCAACCUGGGAACUGCAUUCGAAACUGGCAGGCUUGAGUCUUGUAGAGGGGGGUAGAAUUCCAGGUGUAGCGGUGAAAUGCGUAGAGAUCUGGAGGAAUACCGGUGGCGAAGGCGGCCCCCUGGACAAAGACUGACGCUCAGGUGCGAAAGCGUGGGGAGCAAACAGGAUUAGAAACCCUAGUAGUCCC